This is a long non-coding RNA of Helianthus annuus (common sunflower), 1505 nucleotides long. RefSeq lists it as uncharacterized. The record is from RefSeq and is a predicted model, not a curated record. The transcript has 3 exons. Lineage: Eukaryota; Viridiplantae; Streptophyta; Magnoliopsida; Asterales; Asteraceae.
GGAUUUCACAUGAUAAACCCUACGUCAAAGAAGGAGGAGACGAAGCAUACGAGUUCAACUUGAAGAAAUACUUGAAAUCAAUUACAGGAUGGAGUCAUAUUCGAAUGAAGAAGAUGAUGAUUUUAGUGAUGCUACUUAUGAAGCAAGUACCGAAGAAGAGGAAUUUUCAGAUCCGUUGCCAUUAGAUCUUGAAGAUGAAGAUUUUGUUUCUAUUUUAAAUAGGACAAACGAUGAUCCUUUUUUAAAUAAACUUAGUUACGAGAAUAUGCGGCCGCAUUAUGGUAAUGAUGUUGACAACGAUGUUGGUGAGACUUUAGUCGAGGGUGAUGACGAUGAUCUAAACAUUGACGAAGAUAACGAAGGUACACACCACGUUGAAAAAGGGAAAGUAUAUCCAAUUCAUGAUCCAAACAUGAAUUGGAAAGACAUGCGGCCGAUUCUUGGGGAUAGGUAUGAAAGUCCUACACAAUUGAAGUUUGCUAUAUGUUGUAUGGAGUAGUAAAUGGAUAUAUGUUAAGUUAUAAAAAAAUGAAACAAAAAGGCUCUUAGUUGUAUGUGGUAACAAAGAUGUUGGUUAUUCUUGUCCAUUUAGAUUAUGGGCAUCUUGGAUGCAAACUGAGAAAUCUUUUCAUAUUAAAAGCCUUAAUGAUAAUCACAACUGUAGUAGAAAUUACAGUUAGGGUCCCUAGUGACAGCCUUAUGGAUUGCAAAGAUGUACCUUAGAGAACUCAUUGCAAGACCUUUUGUUAGAAUAAGAGACAUGCAAGCGGAUAUAUUGCGUGACUACAUGGUUAAAGUAAGUAGAGGUCAGUGUUGUCGAGCAAAAUCUAUGGCAAUGUUCGAAAUAGAGGGUUGACUGAAAGAACACUAUGCGCGAAUUUGGGAUUAUGCACAUGAGAUUUUAAGAUCCAAUCCCGAAAGUUCUGUGAAAGUGGGAGUAAAUGGUAUGCCAGAUGGGAAGGUAAUGUAUGCCCAGCUAUAAGGACGAAGAUACAAGAAUGGUCAAAAGAAUCAAGGAAGUGGAUCGUUAUCCCAAGCGGCGGCAAUGUGUUUGAGGUACGGGAUGGAAAUGAAGCUUAUAAUGUGGAUCUAGAUAAUAGAGAAUGUAGUUGUAGAUUGUGGCAAAUAUCCGGAUUACCAUGUUUGCAUUCAAUAACUGCUAUAUACUACAUCAACAAUGAUCCAGAGAAUUAUGCAAGUGAUUGGUUCAAGGUUGAGAAGUUCAAGGAUACUUACGAGCACAAUAUGAAACCGUUAAAUGGAAGCAAAAUGUGGAUGGUAACAUCUUACAUUAAACCACUUCCUCCAAAAGAGAGAAGAAUGCCGGGUAGACCAUCAACGAAGAGAAAAAGACAUGAAACUGAAAAGCAAGGGAAGUAUAAAAAAGUAUCAUUUAUCGGAAGACAAAUAACUUGCAGCAACUGUUUAGAGAAAGGGCAUAAUGUGAAAACAUGUACAAAUGAAAAAAAAAAAAACUUGCACCGCCCAAAGAACCUAAGAGAAAA